This 279-nucleotide ribosomal RNA is filed under the name uncultured bacterium. RNAcentral's name for it is "partial 16S ribosomal RNA". It matches the Rfam family "Bacterial small subunit ribosomal RNA", at positions 506 to 784 of the family's 1533-position model. The record is from RNAcentral.
UGCCAGCCGCCGCGGUAAGACGUAGGAUGCAAGCGUUGUCCGGAUUUACUGGGUGUAAAGGGCGCGCAGGCGGAUUUGUCAGUCAGGGGUGAAAUCCUACAGCUUAACUGUAGAACUGCCUUUGAUACUGCAAAUCUUGAGUUCGGAAGGGAGAGGCGGAAUUCCAGGUGUAGUGGUGAAAUACGUAGAUAUCUGGAAGAACACCAGAGGCGAAGGCGGUCUCUUGGUCCGAAACUGACGCUGAGGCGCGAAAGCGUGGGGUGCAAACAGGAUUAGAUA